Molecule: ribosomal RNA, 460 nt
Filed under: uncultured bacterium
Lineage: Bacteria
Description: partial 16S ribosomal RNA
Rfam family: Bacterial small subunit ribosomal RNA
Source: RNAcentral
CCUACGGGAGGCAGCAGUGAGGAAUAUUGGUCAAUGGGCGCGAGCCUGAACCAGCCAAGUAGCGUGAAGGAUGACUGCCCUACGGGUUGUAAACUUCUUUUAUAAAGGAAUAAAGUGAGGCACGUGUGCCUUUUUGUAUGUACUUUAUGAAUAAGGAUCGGCUAACUCCGUGCCAGCAGCCGCGGUAAUACGGAGGAUCCGAGCGUUAUCCGGAUUUAUUGGGUUUAAAGGGUGCGCAGGCGGAAGCGGCAAGUCAGCGGUAAAAUUGCGGGGUUCAACCUCGCCGAGCCGUUGAAACUGCUCGUCUAGAGUAGGCGAGAAGUAUGCGGAAGGCGUGGUGUAGCGGUGAAAUGCAUAGAUAUCACGCAGAACUCCGAUUGCGAAGGCAGCAUACCGGCGCCCAACUGACGCUCAUGCACGAAAGCGUGGGUAUCGAACAGGAUUAGAUACCCUGGUAGUC